Molecule: ribosomal RNA, 1354 nt
Filed under: Klebsiella aerogenes
Lineage: Bacteria; Pseudomonadati; Pseudomonadota; Gammaproteobacteria; Enterobacterales; Enterobacteriaceae
Description: bacterial SSU rRNA
Rfam family: Bacterial small subunit ribosomal RNA
Source: RNAcentral
GACGAGCGGCGGACGGGUGAGUAAUGUCUGGGAAACUGCCUGAUGGAGGGGGAUAACUACUGGAAACGGUAGCUAAUACCGCAUAACGUCGCAAGACCAAAGUGGGGGACCUUCGGGCCUCAUGCCAUCAGAUGUGCCCAGAUGGGAUUAGCUAGUAGGUGGGGUAAUGGCUCACCUAGGCGACGAUCCCUAGCUGGUCUGAGAGGAUGACCAGCCACACUGGAACUGAGACACGGUCCAGACUCCUACGGGAGGCAGCAGUGGGGAAUAUUGCACAAUGGGCGCAAGCCUGAUGCAGCCAUGCCGCGUGUAUGAAGAAGGCCUUCGGGUUGUAAAGUACUUUCAGCGAGGAGGAAGGCGUUAAGGUUAAUAACCUUGGCGAUUGACGUUACUCGCAGAAGAAGCACCGGCUAACUCCGUGCCAGCAGCCGCGGUAAUACGGAGGGUGCAAGCGUUAAUCGGAAUUACUGGGCGUAAAGCGCACGCAGGCGGUCUGUCAAGUCGGAUGUGAAAUCCCCGGGCUCAACCUGGGAACUGCAUUCGAAACUGGCAGGCUAGAGUCUUGUAGAGGGGGGUAGAAUUCCAGGUGUAGCGGUGAAAUGCGUAGAGAUCUGGAGGAAUACCGGUGGCGAAGGCGGCCCCCUGGACAAAGACUGACGCUCAGGUGCGAAAGCGUGGGGAGCAAACAGGAUUAGAUACCCUGGUAGUCCACGCCGUAAACGAUGUCGACUUGGAGGUUGUGCCCUUGAGGCGUGGCUUCCGGAGCUAACGCGUUAAGUCGACCGCCUGGGGAGUACGGCCGCAAGGUUAAAACUCAAAUGAAUUGACGGGGGCCCGCACAAGCGGUGGAGCAUGUGGUUUAAUUCGAUGCAACGCGAAGAACCUUACCUACUCUUGACAUCCAGAGAACUUAGCAGAGAUGCUUUGGUGCCUUCGGGAACUCUGAGACAGGUGCUGCAUGGCUGUCGUCAGCUCGUGUUGUGAAAUGUUGGGUUAAGUCCCGCAACGAGCGCAACCCUUAUCCUUUGUUGCCAGCGGUCCGGCCGGGAACUCAAAGGAGACUGCCAGUGAUAAACUGGAGGAAGGUGGGGAUGACGUCAAGUCAUCAUGGNCCCUUACGAGUAGGGCUACACACGUGCUACAAUGGCAUAUACAAAGAGAAGCGACCUCGCGAGAGCAAGCGGACCUCAUAAAGUAUGUCGUAGUCCGGAUUGGAGUCUGCAACUCGACUCCAUGAAGUCGGAAUCGCUAGUAAUCGUAGAUCAGAAUGCUACGGUGAAUACGUUCCCGGGCCUUGUACACACCGCCCGUCACACCAUGGGAGUGGGUUGCUAAAGAAGUAGGUAGCUCAACC